RNAcentral lists this ribosomal RNA (106 nucleotides) under Dictyota dichotoma. The record is from RNAcentral. Lineage: Eukaryota; Phaeophyceae; Dictyotales; Dictyotaceae.
UAACGAAAUAUAUAGUAUCUAGGUCUUUUACCCGAAUCCAUACCGAACUCGAGUGUCCUUAUCUAGGUAGCCAUAAAUACUGGGUUAAGCCGGGAAUCAUGGUUUU